Molecule: non-coding RNA, 69 nt
Organism: Potamilus streckersoni
Lineage: Eukaryota; Metazoa; Mollusca; Bivalvia; Unionida; Unionidae
Source: the annotation of a GenBank genome assembly
GGUGGCCUAGUGAUUAGAGCUUCCGCAUCGAAUGCGGGAGGUCGUGGGGUUCGAUCCCCAGCAGAGUCA